RNAcentral lists this unclassified non-coding RNA (358 nucleotides) under soil metagenome. RNAcentral's name for it is "partial contains 5.8S ribosomal RNA, internal transcribed spacer 2, and large subunit ribosomal RNA". The stretch from base 1 to 121 matches the Rfam family "5.8S ribosomal RNA", at positions 35 to 154 of the family's 154-position model. The record is from RNAcentral.
GAUGAAGAAACGUAGCGAAAUGCGAUAAGUAAUGUGAAUUGCAGAAUUCAGUGAAUCAUCGAAUCUUUGAACGCACAUUGCGCCCGCUGGUAUUCCGGCGGGCAUGCCUGUUCGAGCGUCAUUUCAACCCUCAAGCUCUCCGGAGUUUGGUGUUGGGGCGCCUGGGGCUUUUCGACCUCAGGGCCCUCAAGUCCAUCGGCGGGACCGCCAGGACACUGAGCGCAGUAGUAUUAUUUCGCUCGGUAGGAUCUUCCACGGCGGGUCGAUCUGGCCGCUAAACCCCCCAAUUCUCACCAAAGGUUGACCUCGGAUCAGGUAGGAAUACCCGCUGAACUUAAGCAUAUCAAUAAGCGGAGGA